Molecule: long non-coding RNA, 660 nt
Filed under: Homo sapiens (human)
Lineage: Eukaryota; Metazoa; Chordata; Mammalia; Primates; Hominidae
Description: non-protein coding lnc-ALDH7A1-2:5
Source: RNAcentral
AUGGUAACCAGCAGACAGACCUGAGAGAAGCAAGGCUGCAGAGAAACUGUAGCCAUCACCAAACAACAAAUCAAAGGGAAGUGUCUCAGGAGAGAUUUCUAAUUAUCAUACAUUUGUCCUUGCAGCCAAACCAGGAUGCAGUGGAAAUGGUGCCUUUGGCACUAGCAUCUUAGGUCACAAAAUCAGUUGUCUUGAAAUUCUUACUAACUUUUGAACGUGGAACCCUACAUCUUCGUUUUGUACUGGUCCCCACAUAUUUUAUAGCUGAUCUGAAGGAGGAGAGAGAGAUGAUGGGGGAUGAAGGGUAUGGAAUUGUAUGCUAUGGCUGCCUGCUGUCGAAGUUCUCCAGGUCCAGAGAGGAUUUAAGUUGCUGGAAUAAUCCACCCAGUCUUCGAGAUGUGAUUAUAUAAUUGAUGGUAUGUGGAUAUCACUGAUCACAAAACACAAUAAAGGACCUAAGGCAACAUCUUUGUUCUUUCUCAAUGUGGGGAAAAUGUUUUUGUUCUACUUGGUAAGUGGCCUCUGCAGUGUCUCUUGGAGACCUCAAUAAAUGAUUAUUUUCCAGCAUUCCAUCACAUGCCAAAUGUUUUACUCCCAUGUCCCUGAGGUUCUCGUCUGUCAGCACUUGUCUUGCAGCUCAGUACAGACAGGGCAUGGGUA